UCACAUAAACUGUGCAAAAGCCAGGUAUGACUUUGGACACCGCGGUUGGGACAUCCAUCGUCUUGAAUCUUUGAAGUAAAAAAUGUGCGCCCACCACCAGAAUCUCUAUGACAUUGGCUGUAACAUAGUCACUUAUGGAGGUCGCUAUGUCUAUGCCUUCAAUUACAACUUCAUUGACUUGAAUCUACGACAAAGAGAGGUAAGAUGAUUCAGAAAAUGAAACGACAUCUGCAAGAACACGAGGAAGAUUGAACGCGUAAGCAGCAACGUGCACUUACAUUCUUACGGUUGCAGAAGCAUCGGAAAGGUAAGAACAACUCCUUUGCUUGACUAUCAGGAUCACUUCUAUAUACUCUGGGAGUUCCAUCACUCACAUCUGAGAAAGGAACGUUGUUCGAAUAAUAGGUUUAAAGCCAGAGGUGGAUAUAGGCUUUGAAUAAUAGGUUCAACUGAACUUAAUAUUCUCGACAUGAAACAUAGAUAUAUAUGUAGAAAGAAAUCACUUUAGUUUUAAUAAAUAUUAAAUUCUAAAUUCAUAA
Long non-coding RNA from Solanum tuberosum (potato), 539 nucleotides. RefSeq lists it as uncharacterized. Lineage: Eukaryota; Viridiplantae; Streptophyta; Magnoliopsida; Solanales; Solanaceae. The transcript is spliced from 2 exons. The record is from RefSeq and is a predicted model, not a curated record.